This 206-nucleotide long non-coding RNA is filed under the name Ricinus communis (castor bean). RNAcentral describes it as "long non-coding RNA (RCOM_LNC003142)". Lineage: Eukaryota; Viridiplantae; Streptophyta; Magnoliopsida; Malpighiales; Euphorbiaceae. The record is from RNAcentral.
UGAUAAAUUAAGGAGUCAAAUUGAACUUUAUUCUAUUUCUAUAAAAUUUAAAUAAUAAAUAUAAAUUUUUAAAUUACUACAACUCGUCAAAACCAACUUGCCGUUGCCGUAAGCACGUUUCCACUAUUAUCAUUAAUAUCUCGCGCUGUUCACGGGCCCACAAAUUGGAUCAUGACACUUAUUUUUAUUAUUUUUGCUAUUUUGGC